UAUAUAUAUAUAUAUAUAAAAUGGGAGACAGGGCGCACACCGAAGAGAGAUCGCGUAUUGGAAAAGCGCGUGCGAAAUCCUAGCGAGACAGCAAGACAGUUCCCCCCUCACGCGAAAAACCCCUUCUGUAUAAAGAUUUCCUGCCCUCGGAUUGCCGAUCGUCCCGCGGACCCAUUUUCGGACCCACCGAACUCGUCGAUGGGCCCACCAGCCCGGCCGCCGCCACCGUCGCCGCCGCCGUCGCUCUACCGGACUCAGUCGGGGCCCCCGAAGAUGCAUACAAUCACAGAUCGGUCAUCAGGACUUUCGGGACGUCCGGGACGUCCGGGACUAGUCGUCCGUCGAUCGCACGCAGUCAGGACACACUCGGGCAGGCUCAAAUAUCAUCGCAUUUGAGCUUACAGAGUUGUCUCGCAUCGUCCUCCUGCAAGCAAUCGUUCCAGAAUCCAGUCGCAGCCAGGCAUCGUGUCAGUGUGUGGAAAUACAUAAUUACAUAGAAUUACGGUAUAAGUUGUGUUAAAUCAAUGUUAAUCGCUGUAGCGAAGUGGGGUAUUAUAAUAAAUACAUUAUUUUAUGUAUA
Long non-coding RNA from Pogonomyrmex barbatus (red harvester ant), 580 nucleotides. Lineage: Eukaryota; Metazoa; Arthropoda; Insecta; Hymenoptera; Formicidae. The record is from RefSeq and is a predicted model, not a curated record.